This 322-nucleotide ribosomal RNA is filed under the name uncultured eukaryote. RNAcentral describes it as "partial 18S ribosomal RNA". It matches the Rfam family "Eukaryotic small subunit ribosomal RNA", at positions 1470 to 1796 of the family's 1831-position model. The record is from RNAcentral.
CCCUUAGAUGUUCUGGGCCGCACGCGUGCUACACUGAGUGGAUCAGCGGGUCAGGUUGCGCGAAAGUGUUUCCUAAUCUUGAAAUCCGCUCGUGAUGGGGAUUGACGGUUGCAAUUUUCCGUCAUGAACGAGGAAUACCUUGUAAGCGCGGGUCAUCAUCCCGCGCUGAUUACGUCCCUGCCCUUUGUACACACCGCCCGUCGCACCUACCGAUUGGAUGGUCCGGUGAAGCCUCGGGAUUGUGGUUCUUGCCGCUUUAUUGUGGCGUGACCGCGAGAACUUGUCUAAACCUUAUCAUCUAGAGGAAGGUGAAGUCGUAACA